RNAcentral lists this ribosomal RNA (405 nucleotides) under uncultured bacterium. RNAcentral's name for it is "partial 16S ribosomal RNA". It matches the Rfam family "Bacterial small subunit ribosomal RNA", at positions 30 to 525 of the family's 1533-position model. The record is from RNAcentral.
AUUGAACGCUGGCGGCAGGCCUAACACAUGCAAGUCGAACGAGUGGCGGACGGGUGAGUAAUGUCUGGGAAACUGCCUGAUGGAGGGGGAUAACUACUGGAAACGGUAGCUAAUACCGCAUACCAUCGGAUGUGCCCAGAUGGGAUUAGCUAGUAGGUGGGGUAACGGCUCGCCUAGGCGACGCUCCCUAGCUGGUCUGAGAGGAUGACAAGACACAAGGGAACUGAGAAACGGUCCAGAUCCCUCCGGGAGGAAGCAGUGGGGAAUAUUGCACAAUGGGCGCAAGCCGGAUGAAGCCAUGCCGAGGGUAUGAAGAAGGUCUUCGGGUUGUAAAGUACUUUCAGAGGGGAGGCGUUACCCGCAGAAGAAGCACCGGUUACCCCCGUGCCAGAAGCCGCGGUAAUU